RNAcentral lists this small nucleolar RNA (103 nucleotides) under Ricinus communis (castor bean). RNAcentral describes it as "Small nucleolar RNA Z103". It matches the Rfam family "Small nucleolar RNA Z103". Rfam says of the family: This family consists of several snoRNA Z103 sequences which are members of the C/D class of snoRNA which contain the C (UGAUGA) and D (CUGA) box motifs. This family seems to be found exclusively in plants. The record is from Rfam by way of RNAcentral. Lineage: Eukaryota; Viridiplantae; Streptophyta; Magnoliopsida; Malpighiales; Euphorbiaceae.
GUGUGAGGUGAUGAUUAUUUCCCCAGAUGAUCGAAGGUGAAUAUACUGUUCUGUUUUAAUUCUCUAUUUUCAGUUGAGAAUCCAAGCCAGAUUUCUGAUCCAU